Molecule: ribosomal RNA, 253 nt
Filed under: uncultured prokaryote
Description: partial 16S ribosomal RNA
Rfam family: Bacterial small subunit ribosomal RNA
Source: RNAcentral
UACGGGGGGGGCAAGCGUUGUUCGGAAUUACUGGGCGUAAAGGGCUCGUAGGUGGCCGACUAAGUCGGACGUGAAAUCCCUCGGCUUAACCGGGGAACUGCGUCCGAUACUGGACGGCUUGAGUUUAGGAGAGGGACGCGGAAUUCCAGGUGUAGCGGUGAAAUGCGUAGAUAUCUGGAGGAACACCGGUGGCGAAGGCGGCGUCCUGGACCAAUACUGACACUGAUGAGCGAAAGCCAGGGGAGCAAACGGG